This 253-nucleotide ribosomal RNA is filed under the name uncultured bacterium. Its description in RNAcentral is "partial 16S ribosomal RNA". It matches the Rfam family "Bacterial small subunit ribosomal RNA", at positions 524 to 776 of the family's 1533-position model. The record is from RNAcentral.
UACGGAGGGUGCAAGCGUUAUCCGGAAUCAUUGGGUUUAAAGGGUCCGUAGGCGGGUAAUUAAGUCAGAGGUGAAAUCCCACAGCUUAACUGUGGAACUGCCUUUGAUACUGGUUGUCUUGAAUUAUAGUGAAGUAGAUAGAAUGUGUAGUGUAGCGGUGAAAUGCUUAGAUAUUACACAGAAUACCGAUUGCGAAGGCAGUUUACUAACUAUAUAUUGACGCUAAUGGACGAAAGCGUGGGGAGCGAACAGG